Aspergillus egyptiacus is the source of this 72-nucleotide non-coding RNA. NCBI's taxonomy places the organism in Eukaryota, Fungi, Ascomycota, Eurotiomycetes, Eurotiales, Aspergillaceae. The record is from the annotation of a GenBank genome assembly.
GCCCGGGUGGUCUAGUGGUAUGAUUCUCGCUUAGUAUGCGAGAGGUCCCGCGUUCGAUCCGCGGCUCGGGCC